RNAcentral lists this ribosomal RNA (268 nucleotides) under Priestia megaterium. RNAcentral describes it as "Bacillus megaterium partial 23S ribosomal RNA". It matches the Rfam family "Bacterial large subunit ribosomal RNA", at positions 2660 to 2925 of the family's 2925-position model. Lineage: Bacteria; Bacillati; Bacillota; Bacilli; Caryophanales; Bacillaceae. The record is from RNAcentral.
AUUUGAGAGGAGCUGUCCUUAGUACGAGAGGACCGGGAUGGACACACCGCUGGUGUACCAGUUGUCUUGCCAAAGGCAUCGCUGGGUAGCUAUGUGUGGACGGGAUAAGUGCUGAAAGCAUCUAAGCAUGAAGCCCCCCUCAAGAUGAGAUUUCCCAUAGCGCAAGCUAGUAAGAUCCCUGAAAGAUGAUCAGGUUGAUAGGUCAGAGGUGGAAGCGUGGCGACAUGUGUAGCUGACUGAUACUAAUCGAUCGAGGACUUAACCAAAC